Molecule: ribosomal RNA, 579 nt
Filed under: Triticum aestivum (bread wheat)
Lineage: Eukaryota; Viridiplantae; Streptophyta; Magnoliopsida; Poales; Poaceae
Description: partial small subunit ribosomal RNA
Source: RNAcentral
AUGGCGCCGAAGGGCAAGUCAGGCUUCUUCGGCGUGAGGCAGAAGCCCUCCGGUAACUGGGGUGUGGAGUUCUCCGACGCCGGAAGGCGUUGGUGGAUCGGCACGUACCCCUCCGCCCACGAGGCCGCGCGUGCCUACGACAUGGCGGUGUGGCGUGCCGAGAGGCCUCGGUCGCACCUCAACUUCCCAGAGAUCGAGACUCGGGCGGAAGCGGAGAUGCUUGUGCCGCAGGGCAUCAACAUGAAGGAGAUCACGACGAAGAAGAAGACGAAGAAGCCGUCGGUUGUCGUCAGUGCUGGCGAGACCGAGGAGGUGGCGAUGGCGAGGUUUGCUCGGGAGCAUCCGGAGUACAUCCAGGCCGAGCUGGAGUACUACUGGAAGUGUGAGGCGGAGCAGAAGAAGAAGGGGCCGAAGAAGGAGGACGAGGCCGGUCCCUCGACGGUGAUCCCCAUCGACUCCUCUUCCGAGGAGGACUGGGCAGACUUCUCGAACGAGGAGGAGGAGGAGGAGGAGGGGUGCGACGACCCGACGAAGGAGGAGUUCUCGGCGCAGUUCCGCAGCUCCGACGAUGAGGAGUAG